AUACGUAGGGUGCAAGCGUUAAUCGGAAUUACUGGGCGUAAAGCGUGCGCAGGCGGUUUUGUAAGGCAGUGGUGAAAUCCCCGGGCUCAACCUGGGAACUGCCAAUGUGACUGCAAGGCUGGAGUGCGGCAGAGGGGGGUGGAAUUCCGCGUGUAGCAGGGAAAUGCGUAGAUAUGCGGAGGAACACCGAUGGCGAAGGCAAUCCCCUGGGCCUGCACUGACGCUCAUGCACGAAAGCGUGGGGAGCAAACAGGAUUAGAUACCCUGGUAGUCCACGCCCUAAACGAUGUCAACUGGUUGUUGGGGAUUUAUUUUCUCAGUAACGAAGCUAACGCGUGAAGUUGACCGCCUGGGGAGUACGGCCGCAAGGUUAAAACUCAAAUGAAUUGGCGGGG
This 395-nucleotide ribosomal RNA is filed under the name uncultured bacterium. RNAcentral describes it as "partial 16S ribosomal RNA". It matches the Rfam family "Bacterial small subunit ribosomal RNA", at positions 523 to 918 of the family's 1533-position model. The record is from RNAcentral.